GCUGGCGGCGUGCCUAAUACAUGCAAGUCGAACGAGUUCUCGUUGAUGAUCGGUGCUUGCACCGAGAUUCAACAUGGAACGAGUGGCGGACGGGUGAGUAACACGUGGGUAACCUGCCCUUAAGUGGGGGAUAACAUUUGGAAACAGAUGCUAAUACCGCAUAGAUCCAAGAACCGCAUGGUUCUUGGCUGAAAGAUGGCGUAAGCUAUCGCUUUUGGAUGGACCCGCGGCGUAUUAGCUAGUUGGUGAGGUAAUGGCUCACCAAGGCGAUGAUACGUAGCCGAACUGAGAGGUUGAUCGGCCACAUUGGGACUGAGACACGGCCCAAACUCCUACGGGAGGCAGCAGUAGGGAAUCUUCCACAAUGGACGCAAGUCUGAUGGAGCAACGCCGCGUGAGUGAAGAAGGCUUUCGGGUCGUAAAACUCUGUUGUUGGAGAAGAAUGGUCGGCAGAGUAACUGUUGUCGGCGUGACGGUAUCCAACCAGAAAGCCACGGCUAACUACGUGCCAGCAGCCGCGGUAAUACGUAGGUGGCAAGCGUUAUCCGGAUUUAUUGGGCGUAAAGCGAGCGCAGGCGGUUUUUUAAGUCUGAUGUGAAAGCCCUCGGCUUAACCGAGGAAGCGCAUCGGAAACUGGGAAACUUGAGUGCAGAAGAGGACAGUGGAACUCCAUGUGUAGCGGUGAAAUGCGUAGAUAUAUGGAAGAACACCAGUGGCGAAGGCGGCUGUCUGGUCUGUAACUGACGCUGAGGCUCGAAAGCAUGGGUAGCGAACAGGAUUAGAUACCCUGGUAGUCCAUGCCGUAAACGAUGAAUGCUAGGUGUUGGAGGGUUUCCGCCCUUCAGUGCCGCAGCUAACGCAUUAAGCAUUCCGCCUGGGGAGUACGACCGCAAGGUUGAAACUCAAAGGAAUUGACGGGGGCCCGCACAAGCGGUGGAGCAUGUGGUUUAAUUCGAAGCAACGCGAAGAACCUUACCAGGUCUUGACAUCUUUUGAUCACCUGAGAGAUCAGGUUUCCCCUUCGGGGGCAAAAUGACAGGUGGUGCAUGGUUGUCGUCAGCUCGUGUCGUGAGAUGUUGGGUUAAGUCCCGCAACGAGCGCAACCCUUAUGACUAGUUGCCAGCAUUUAGUUGGGCACUCUAGUAAGACUGCCGGUGACAAACCGGAGGAAGGUGGGGAUGACGUCAAAUCAUCAUGCCCCUUAUGACCUGGGCUACACACGUGCUACAAUGGAUGGUACAACGAGUUGCGAGACCGCGAGGUCAAGCUAAUCUCUUAAAGCCAUUCUCAGUUCGGACUGUAGGCUGCAACUCGCCUACACGAAGUCGGAAUCGCUAGUAAUCGCGGAUCAGCACGCCGCGGUGAAUACGUUCCCGGGCCUUGUACACACCGCCCGUCACACCAUGAGAGUUUGUAACACCCGAAGCCGGUGGCGUAACCCUUUUAGGGAGCGAGCCGUCUAAGGUGGGACAAAU
This 1475-nucleotide ribosomal RNA is filed under the name Lacticaseibacillus casei. RNAcentral's name for it is "bacterial SSU rRNA". It matches the Rfam family "Bacterial small subunit ribosomal RNA". The record is from RNAcentral. Lineage: Bacteria; Bacillati; Bacillota; Bacilli; Lactobacillales; Lactobacillaceae.